AGAGUUUGAUCAUGGCUCAGGACGAACGCUGGCGGCGUGCCUAAUACAUGCAAGUGGAACGCAUUUUAAUCACCGUAGCUUGCUACACCGAUUAAAAUGAGUCGCGAACGGGUGAGUAACGCGUAGGUAACCUACCUCAUAGCGGGGGACAACUAUUGGAAACGAUAGCUAAUACCGCAUAAGACAACUUAUCGCAUGAUGGGAUGUUAAAAGAUGCAACUGCAUCACUAUGAGAUGGACCUGCGUUGUAUUAGCUAGUUGGUGAGGUAACGGCUCACCAAGGCUGCGAUACAUAGCCGACCUGAGAGGGUGAUCGGCCACACUGGGACUGAGACACGGCCCAGACUCCUACGGGAGGCAGCAGUAGGGAAUCUUCGGCAAUGGGGGCAACCCUGACCGAGCAACGCCGCGUGAGUGAAGAAGGUUUUCGGAUCGUAAAGCUCUGUUGUAAGCGAAGAACAGUGAUAGGAGUGGAAAAUCUAUCACAUGACGGUAGCUUACCAGAAAGGGACGGCUAACUACGUGCCAGCAGCCGCGGUAAUACGUAGGUCUCGAGCGUUGUCCGGAUUUAUUGGGCGUAAAGCGAGCGCAGGCGGUUAGAUAAGUCAGAAGUUAAAGGCUGUGGCUCAACCAUAGUACGCUUUUGAAACUGUCUAACUUGAGUGCAGAAGGGGAGAGUGGAAUUCCAUGUGUAGCGGUGAAAUGCGUAGAUAUAUGGAGGGACACCGGUGGCGAAAGCGGCUCUCUGGUCUGUCACUGACGCUGAGGCUCGAAAGCGUGGGUAGCGAACAGGAUUAGAUACCCUGGUAGUCCACGCCGUAAACGAUGAGUGCUAGGUGUUAGGCCCU
This 848-nucleotide ribosomal RNA is filed under the name uncultured bacterium. RNAcentral describes it as "bacterial SSU rRNA". It matches the Rfam family "Bacterial small subunit ribosomal RNA", at positions 8 to 831 of the family's 1533-position model. The record is from RNAcentral.